Molecule: ribosomal RNA, 465 nt
Filed under: uncultured bacterium
Lineage: Bacteria
Description: partial 16S ribosomal RNA
Rfam family: Bacterial small subunit ribosomal RNA
Source: RNAcentral
CCUACGGGAGGCAGCAGUGGGGAAUAUUGCGCAAUGGGCGAAAGCCUGACGCAGCGACGCCGCGUGAGGGAUGAAGGUCUUCGGAUCGUAAACCUCUGUCAGCAGGGAAGAACGGUCACUGUGCUAAUCAGCAGUGAAUUGACGGUACCUGCAAAGGAAGCACCGGCUAACUCCGUGCCAGCAGCCGCGGUAAUACGGAGGGUGCGAGCGUUAUUCGGAUUUACUGGGCGUAAAGCGCUCGUAGGCGGUAUGUCAAGUCAAGUGUGAAAUCCCCGCGCUCAACGUGGGAACUGCCUUUGAAACUGGCAAACUUGAGUGUAGGAGAGGAUAGUGGAAUUCCAGGUGUAGCGGUGAAAUGCGUAGAUAUCUGGAGGAACAUCAGUGGCGAAGGCGACUCUCUGGCCCAUAACUGACGCUGAGGAGCGAAAGCGUGGGUAGCAAACAGGAUUAGAUACCCCAGUAGUC